UGGGUUGGCCAGAAAGUUCGUUUGGGUUUUUCCAUAGGAUGUUACAGGAAAAUCUGGGUGAGCUUUUUGGCCAACCC
Molecule: microRNA precursor, 77 nt
Filed under: Ovis aries (sheep)
Lineage: Eukaryota; Metazoa; Chordata; Mammalia; Artiodactyla; Bovidae
Description: miRNA (ENSOARG00000021489.1)
Source: RNAcentral